Molecule: long non-coding RNA, 8961 nt
Organism: Antechinus flavipes (yellow-footed antechinus)
Lineage: Eukaryota; Metazoa; Chordata; Mammalia; Dasyuromorphia; Dasyuridae
Exons: 2
Source: RefSeq, a predicted model, not a curated record
GAACAAAGAAAUGAAAUACUACUUUCUCACAUUACAUACAAAAGUUGUUUCAACAGUACACAAUCUGAAAGAUUGAAGAACAGGCCCUUUUAUCUUUUUUUUUUUUUAAAUGUUUAGGAUCAGAAAGUGCCUUCUUCUUAGGAUAAAUAUGGAAUUACUUGGGUAACUGACACUUUCUCAUUUUUCCUCCUAUUCCUAGACUUUUAUCUUAGUAUGUUUGGGUCUUAAGCUGUAAGUGGGGGCAGAUAAAAUCAUUGCCUUUACUAUGUGAAACCUUGCCAGUUCUGGUGCUCACUUUUGUGGGCUCUGCUCAACCAUCAUGUUUCCCCCACUUCUAUGAAAGCCUUGGGAAGGCUACAAAUCAAUCUUGACUGAAACUAAGACUUUCUGCAUCAGAAAGUUUACAGCUAUUAUCUUUUACUUGCAUCGACUUAAAAACUCAUGCUCCAGAACCAGGGGAACAUUGCACACAGUAACGACAGCAAGAUUACGUGAUCAUCAACUAUGACAGACUUGGCUUUUCUCAGUAAUGUGGUAAUCCUGAGCAAUUCCAAUAACCUUUGGGAUGGAAAAAGCCAUCUGCAUCAAGAGAGAGAACUAUGGAGACUGAAUGUGGAUCAAAGCAGAGUAUUUUAACCUUUUUUUGGUUGCUUUUUACUUUCAAAGAGUUUCUUUUCCCUUUUGGUCUGAUUUUUCUUGUACAACAUGACAAAGAAACAUGUUUAAAAGGAUUGUAGAUGUUUAACUUAGAUUGAAUUGCUUGUUGUCUUGGGAGAGAUGAUUUAAGAGGAGGGAGAAAAAAAUUGGAACACAAAAUCUUAUAAGUGAAUUUUGAAAACUAUUUUACAUGUAUUUGGAAAAGUAAAAUACUACUGGGAAAAAACAAAACAAAACAAAAACUUAUGUUCCAGAUUAACAGAAAGCUGAGAGAAAUAAACAUUGAAUAGUGGUAAACAAAUAAUGUAAAAAUCUGAAAAAUGAUUUAUUUCUUAGGAAAUGAAACUAUAAGCUAUCUCCAAGCUCUAGUGAGAAGACUGAGGACAGUUUGCAUGAAGCACAUCACUAAAAUAUGGACUAAGUAAGGUGCCAUGUGCAUAGUGGUUACUUAAUAAUAAACACUUGUACUCUUUAAAAAAUAGGUAUUUAAUAAAGUACUGAAUUGAGAACAAUAAAUUAACAAGCAUUUUUAUUCAGUACUUACUAUGUGCUAGCACUGAGCUGAGCAGAGGAGGUUGGGGGAGGGGAGUUUGUCCAUCCAUGUCCUUAAAGAGCUUACAUUCCAGAAUGAGAAACAUGUCCGUAUAUAGAUACAUACAAGAUUCAUAAGAGAGUUGAUAAAGCCUAAUGAGGUCUGAGGUCAUUGGCCUUUGGUGAUUUUGGAGAAAUGUUAUAAUCAAAUAAUGAGGUUAGAAACCAGAUUGCAGAAUUUAAAACUGAUUAAGAAAAGGGAAUGGGGGGGAACUGAUUGGACAGGUCUUUCUCAUGUUUAACUGAGAAGGAAAGAAGAAGAUGACCGACCACUAGCAGAGAUGUUGGGAUCAGGUGAGUUUUUAAAAAAAGGAUAUUAUUGUAAACAACUGGGAAGAAAUUAAUACACAGGGAAUAAUUAAAAAUUAGAAUGAGAGAAGGGAUGAUAGGGAAAAACUGCUGGAGAAUAUGGGAUGGAACCAAAGAUGCAUGUAGUGGGCCUUCCUUUGGCAAGAAAUACUACCUCUUUAUUACAGACUAUGAAGGAGAGGAUAGUGGGGGAAGAUAUCUAAGUGAUCUGAGAUCAGAUGGAAGGAAGAAGAGGGAGUUUUCAGUGAUUAACCUUAUUUUGGCAAGAAAGGCUACCUUUUUAUGACAGACAAAGAUGAAGGAGGACAUAGAAGAGGAAGAUGUUUAAGUGAUUAGAGAUCAACUAGAAUGAAGAAGAGGGAAUUCUCAGUGAUUAGUCUCAAUUUUUUUUUUUUUUUUUUUUUUUUUUGGUGAAAUGUGACAAGGUUCUUAAUUCAGAGAAUAAGGAAAAGGGUACUGUGGAGGUCUGAAGAGAAAUUUAAGUUUGGAAUAGCUGUUGUGGCAAAAGGGGAAGUCAAAUAUUUGGGGAGCUCUAUUCAGCAGCAUAUGAAUAGGAGCAAAGUGAUGGAUGGAGGGAGUCAUCCAAGGACGGGGUUUGACAAGGCAUAAUCAGGGACAGGACAAAGGGGAAAAGAAUUUGAGUGUAAGGGAUAAUGUAACAUUUAACUGAUCACCAAGCAUUGGGAAUAAUGAAGAGAGUAAAGUGUAGUAAAUAUAAGAAUGAUGACUUGGAAAAGAAUGGAGAUUAGAAGGAUUGGAGAUCAUAAUAACGAUGAAGAACCAAAUUUAAGGGUCAUAAGAAGAAAAGAAUGGCUAAAGAUUAUGACUAAAUAAAACAGGUUUAGUUCUGUCACCUUGGAAGUGGAACAUUUGUGAAUGAAAGCAAGAUCAAAGGCAUUACCUACAAACAGAUGUGUGUGUGGCUGAGGUAUAGCUUACAGGAAUUGAGUAGGUUGAGAACUGGGAAAUUAGGGAAUAUCAACAUGCAUAUUGGGGUCUUCUAAUAUGAAGGCAGGGGUUGUGGAAAAGAGAAAAACUGUGAAAAACUGCAUUCAUUUAAAUGGCUUCAGGCUUCAGGCUGUCUCCCUUAUGACCUGUAUAAUAUGUGCAGGCUCUUAUCUACUUGAGCCUUGGCCAGAUAGAAACAUAUUUACUUAACCUGAGCUGAUGACAUUUAUUGGUAUUUGGCAUUUAUCGUUAUUUAGUCUAUUAGCUGGACCACUGUCUGCUUGAUUAAGCCUGAAGCCUGACUUUCUGUUUCCUAGAAAUCAGAAGAUUUCAGGCAAACAGAAAACCUUCCAUUCCAAUCUCCCCAAAUAGCAACAACCAAUUAGAUGCCUCCCCCUCCCCUUCUCAGUGCUCUUUCACUUGUGAUGUAAUUUCUUGUAUAAAAGCUAUGUAUCUUUACUACUUUUUUAGCCCUCUACAGUGAGCUUUCUCUUUCUUAUCUCGCGAUGGGACGGCUCAUCCUCCGGAGGUUUUCAAUAAACAACUUUUCUGCCUUCUAUUUUUUUUUAAAUUUAAUUUAAUUUUAUAAUAACUUUUUAUUGAUAGAAUCCAUGCCAGGGUAAUUUUUUUACAAUAUUAUCCCUUGCACUCACUUCUGUUCCGAUUUUUCCUUUCCCUCCCUCCACCCCCUCCCCUAGAUGGCAAGCAGUUCUAUAUAUGUUAAAUAUGCUGCAGUAUAUCCUAGAUACAAUAUAUGUUUGCAGAACUGAACAGUUCUCUUGUUGCACAGAGAGAAUUGGAUUCAGAAAGUAAAAAUAACCUGGGAAGAAAAACAAAAAUACAAAUAGUUCACAUUCAUUUCCCAGUGUUCUUUCUUUGAAUGUAGCUGCUUCUGUCCAUCAUUUAUCAAUUGAAACUGAGUUAGGUCGCUUUGUCAAAGAUCUGCCUUCUACUAAGUGGUCUGUGAGUAAUCAUUUUGGGUAAGGGUCUUCUACAUCCCUCACAGAUGGGGGCUCGUCCGGGAUGGGGUCUUUGGGGAAGACGGCUACGUGUACCCCGAACAGGGACAGGCGCCCACGGAGUAGUUUUCUCCAGGGUCUCUGGCUCUGGGUGAGCAGCCUCCCUCCCCUUUUAGACAACAACCCGAGGCAGGGAUACUCAGUGGAACGCAGAAUUGAAGAUUGAAGGAAGUAUAGUCCUGAUGGCCGGCAUUUGCAGUCUGAAAAGAAACAUAUGUUCUCGAGGUAAAGCUCUUGGGAAGUCUGGGGGUGUAUUGGCUGAGUCGAGGGAGACCCUGAGGGAUUAGCCCUCUUAAAUUUAUUUUUGGUGUGGACUGCUGUUGACCCCAAUGAUAAAGGACUUUUCCUAAAGAGGCUCUCGGGUGGCUGUGGGGGCGUGAGGGUAAUGUAGGGCCUCCACCUGGGUGUGAGGAUAACAUAGGGCCUCCGCCAACAUCUGGAUCAGGUCCAGGGUGGUAUAGAAGCAGUCCAAAAAUUUGUAUCAGGACAUUAGCUAGGAAAUUCAAGACUGGAAUGAACUUCCCAGAUAUACAAGGGAAGAAAACAGGGAUGAUGUAUAUCCCAGGACUAUUUGGGUAUAUCAGACUUAAAUCUGUAUGUAAAAGGUGAAAAUAGAGUUUUGUGAAUGUCUGUGUGUAUGUCUGCUUUGCAUUGCCUUUGUUCUGUGUUAAAAGUUAGAAAGCUUAUAAGAGAUAAGAAUUCAGCUCUGUGUUAUAGGCUUAGAAAAAUUUCAGGCUGAAUUGUGGGAACUGGAAUUCAUUCAGAGUAGUAAUUCUUUCAGAGUGGCUCAGAAUGUAUUGGUCUUAGAAUUUGGGAACUAGUUUUGGGUUUCUCAAGAAAAGAAAAUCAUUUUUCUCUUUCUCUUCCUCUGUCUCUGGCAGUGGCUUUGCAGGAAGGGGGAGAGAAGGGGAAAAAGUAAAAAACAUAGAUUUAAAGUUUGGAAAGUUUUGAGAAAAUAGAAGAACAGUAUCUAUCACUCCUGUAAACAAGGAGCCUGUUAUCAGGACUCAGCCAGAGAAAAGAAUUCUCAAGAUAAAGCAAGGAUUGGUGCUUAACUCUUUCCUGGUUACUAAAGAAAAGAUGUGGGAAUGAAGUAUCUAGGUAGAUUUUAGGAAAUUUCACAAACUGAAGUACUGGUUAAUUUUAAAAUAACUUUAAAUUGGUGUGUAUGUUAAGACUGGAAAAUUUAAGAUUGGAAAUAAGAAACUGCAGAUAUUGGAAGUGAGGAAUAAAAACAGAGUAAGAGAGUUGAACACAGAGGCAUUCUGACCUGUUGAACCUGUGCAUACUUCUAAAGAAAAAAAAAUUUUCAGGAAAAGAAAGAAAAAUCAUUAUUAGUAAAUUUGCCUUCAUGGAAUUAGAGAACAGAACUAAACCGGGUAAUUGUUUGCAAUAUCUGAUUAAGAGUUUUGGGAAUUUACUAUAUUUUAAAGAGGUACUAUAAUUUUGAAAAUGAAAUAAAAUUAAAAUUGGGGGAAAUAAUUUACUGUUGCCUUGCACAUGUUAGAUUUAUUCUGAGUAUAAAAUCUUAAGAAUUUUUCGACUAUUGUGGCCUUUACAACUGAAGAGAAAAACUUUUCUUUUUUUUUAUUAUUUGGUUGGACUUCAAAUUGAAAUAUAGGUUAUUAAACAAAAUGCCAGUAGCUUACCUUAGGAGGGGCUCAUGUUUGUAUCUCCUUACUUAAAUGGUAUGUUGCUUUUUAAAAGUAUUGGGUAAUUUGUAAACUAUAUUAUAAGUUUUAUGAAAUUUGAUUCAAAAUUAGUUGUGAAUCUUGAAGUUUAAAGUUUUAAAAAAGUGAUUUAAAGACAAGGAAAAAGAGAUUGAUUUACAAAAGCAAUUAAUAAUUUAAAUAGAGCAUCUAGUCAGAAGUAUUUCGGAGCAGGUUUGAGCAAGUAGGCAUUGGUAGGAAAGAGACAGAGAGAUGGGACAGGAGAAUGAAGGUGAUUUAAGAAGGAUUGAUUAGUAGAAGCAAACGAUUUCAAGAAGAAAUCAGAGGGAAAAAGAAGGAAUUAGUUGGAAAGGAGAGACACAGAGAGAUGGUUGUGAGAUGGGAUGUGUUUUUUUGCGGGGAGAGCAGCAAAGCAACAGUGGAAAGCGGCAGCUGCUUGGUUCCUUUAGCUGAAGAAAACAAAUGGUUAUUUAAAGAGACAAACUGCUCUUACAAGAUGUUAAUUGAUUGAAUAUUUGUUUCUUUAGAUACAUAAUGGUUAUGAAUAUUAAAUAAUAUGAUCAGAAAUGUGGUAUAUAGUUUGAAAGGGUUAUUUCAAAAAGUUUAAUUGAUGUUUUCAAGAACUUUUCAGAUUCUUUUUAUGUGAAAAUAGGAAGUUUUAAUUAAUUGUAUUGAUGCCAAUUAUCUGAAAUGGGACUCCAAGGAUAAUAGUUUUUGCCUUCUUCCUUUUGAAAAUGUUUUUGUUGUGAACCAUAUGUAGUUUGGGGUUUUUCUGUAUAUUGGGCAUUUUAAAAGCAAAAUGAUUGGUAUACUAUUAAAUUUAUUCAAGAUGCAACAUCUACUUGGGUACAUAAGAAUUGUGUGAAUUUUCUGGGAUAAAUUUCUUACUGUUACUGAUAUAAGGUCAUGGUAAAUAACUGUUUGGGAUUUAUUUGAAACUUUGGAGAUGAAAUUCUUUGGGCUUGUAAUUAAUUCUAUUUGGGAGUUUUAAAGCUCCACUCUUUGAUGUGCUGAAGAUUGAGUUUUAACUGCUUAUAUUAUGUAAUAGUUAUGUUCUUGCAUUUUUUCCUCCUGUCACUGAUUUCUAUGAUCAGAACAAUAGUUAAUAAGAACUGUUAAUGCAAUUCAAAUAUGUCAUACCUUGCUGUUUCCAAUCUGGUUAUAUGUAAUCAUUAUAUCCUAAAUACUUAGGCAAAUAAGUAUUUAGCCUGGUCAUCUGUCUGUUACUGGAUAUUUGUGUUUUAUUUUUAAAUUGUUUUUUUAAAUGAUAAGAGGACAAUUUACAAUGGUCUGUGAAACCUAACUGCUAUUUAUUGGGACUAUAGCUGUCUGCCUGUCCUGUGAAGCAAACUUGUUCCUUUACAUAGGAACUGCUGGCCAAUCUAUACUGGCCUCCCCACAUGUUGUUGCAGGUCCAGACUGUUCUAACCUUGUUAGAUUUGGUUUUUUGUUGUUCUAGAUUUUGGUCAAAUUACAGAUUAUUGAAUCUCUUUUGAGACAUGGAUCGGCCCAUCUGAAGCUUAGAUUGAUACCACACCCACACCCCUGCAUGCAUUGAGCGCCUUCGUCCAUUUCUCAGCUAAGAUCGAGACCAUCGCCAGUGCUCCUGAUGCAAUUUGGACUGAUAUGGGGGAAGUGGGAAAGUGGUUGAUGAAUUAUUGUCAAAAUUACAGUUCUAUUACUAGAGUUAGAAAAAAAUGCAAACAUUACUGUGUAUUUAAGAUUUGGGAUGGAAAUUAUUAAAAUUGGUAACUGUUGCUGUUAAGGAAGUUAUAAUAUGUUUAUAAUAUCUAUGUAUAUUCACUUCAGAAUAUGUAAUUGUUUGAGAGAUUUGAUUUUUUUUUUUUUUUUGAGGAAACUCCUCCUGUACUAGUCUGUUAUGUAUAGGAACUUUAAUUCACUCUUGGGAUUUAUGUGUGGGAUGGUUACUUGACUUUUUUUUUUUUUUUUUUUGGAUGAUGCCUUUCCAUGAGGGAAAAAAAAAAAGGAGAGGAAGAGAUAGGGAACUAGGGAAACUGGUGGAUUCUUCUCAAAAUAUCUAAAAGAGUGGGAACCCUUAGUUUUCUGUUCACUUUGCCUUAGGUACUUCUGCCCCACCCCCUAUAUCACCAGUUCAGAUUGAAUUGGAAGUCCUUAAACAAUCCUUUUUGUUUUUACUAUAUUUUAGUUUUGAAACCCCUUAUUUUGUGGAAUUGCCCUGGCAGACUCAGUUUUUGGGACUAUUUUGUUUUUAGGAAAUUUCCAAGACAUAUACACCCAUCUUGGGACUGGCAGUCUCCAACCCUGUAACCCCAGUUUCUUAAUUGGUAGCUCAGCAUUUUAAAUAACAUUGCAAUUUUGAGAUCAAGCCUCUAAAGUUUGGGAUUUGCCUGCCUUGAUGGUCUAACUGUGCAUACUCUGAUAGCUCUGCUCAGAAAUCUGUAUUCUAGUAGCAGUCCUGUCUGUCACUCUGGGUGGGGACAGGUGGAGCUACUCUAAGCCUCACCCUUCUCCCCUGGAGUGGGGUGCCCCUCUGAAUGGGCAUCAUGUUGGUCUUGAGCCCUGCUACUCCCUAUAUAAGCAGAAGCUGAGUUAAGUGCACAAAUGACUGCAGACCACCUAACACAGUGAACCGUCCAUCUCAAACUGGAUUCUCUGGCAGAGAUGCGAGCCUUUGUACUGCUGAUAACUCUGGGGUUGUCAGGAAGAGACUUGCCCUUGCCAUAAGUCCUUGCAUUUUCUAGUUUAAUUUUGAUUUAUUUGCCUCACAUUGGAUUGGUCAAAAUUAUGGUGCUGAGACCUCCCAGGUAUCUAGGGGAGGUAAUUCAAUAAUUCAAAUAUUCAGAAGAAGAGUGUAUAAUGUUGUGCCUCGGUUUCCCUAGAUUGUCACCUUUGUUAAUUUAUCUUUGUAUUUUUAUGUUUUCCAUUUGCCAAUCUGUUCUGUGAUAGCUGUUUCUAAGAGUUGGUGGAAGCAAUUUUUAUGGUAUGAACUUAUUACAAUGAACGGUAUUAUCCUGUUGUCGCUAUGUCUACCCUGUAUAAUUACAUUAUUCUGAACACAGAAUAGUUAAAUGGUCCCUAUCAAAAUAUUGCAUACAGAAGAUGCUAUUAAAAUGAUGAUUCUUCAGAGAAAAGACUGGAAUGUAUUAAAGAGAAAUGAUCUUGAUUGUGAACUUGAUAAACAAUGUAUAGAUAUAUUAACUGAUUUUGAACAGUGUGUAAGUUCUUCAUAGAAAUAUGAUAAAAAUCAUUUACAUAUUAGAAGGGAGGAGUUGUGGGGAAUAGAUAAGGUGAAGAACUUACAGGAAUGUAUGAAUUCUUUUUCUGUAUUUUAUUAUUUCUGUGUCUCCCCUAUGACCUGUAUAAUAUGUGCAGGGUCAUAUCUACUUGAGCCUUGGCCAGAUAGAAACAUAUUUACUUAAACAUAUUUACUUAACCUGAGCUGAUGACAUUUAUUGGUAUUUGACAUUUAUCAUUAUUUAGUCUAUUAGCUGGACCACUGUCUGCUUGAUUAAGCCUGAAGCCCUGACUUUCUGUUUCUUAGAAAUCAGAAGAUUUCAGGCAAACAGAAACCUUCCAUUCCAAUCUCCCCAAAUAGCAACAACCAAUUAGAUGCCUCCCCCUCCCCUUCUCAAUGCUCUCUCACUUGUGAUGUAAUUUCUUGUAUAAAAGCUAUGUAUCUUUACUACUUCUUUAGCCCUCCUACCACGAGCUUUCUCUUUCUUAUCUCGUGAUGGGAUGGCUCAUCCUCUGGAGGUUUUCAAUAAACAACUUUUCUGCUUUCUACU